UUCCUACGGGACGCAGCAGUGGGGGAUAUUGCACAAUGGGGGGAACCCUGAUGCAGCGACGCCGCGUGGGUGAAGAAGCGCCUCGGCGCGUAAAGCCCUGUCAGCAGGGAAGAAAAUGACGGUACCUGAAGAAGAAGCCCCGGCUAACCACGUGCCAGCAGCCGCGGUAAUACGUAGGGGGCAAGCGUUGUUCGGAAUGACUGGGCGUAAAGGGUGUGUAGGCGGUGUAGCAAGUUAGAAGUGAAAUACCUAGAGCUUAACUCAGGUGCUGCUUCUAAAACUGCUAUACUUGAGUGCAGUAGAGG
RNAcentral lists this ribosomal RNA (305 nucleotides) under uncultured bacterium. RNAcentral describes it as "bacterial SSU rRNA". It matches the Rfam family "Bacterial small subunit ribosomal RNA", at positions 336 to 657 of the family's 1533-position model. The record is from RNAcentral.